GUGCAGCAGUCGCGAAACUUUACAAUGUGCGAAAGCACGAUAAGGGAACUCUGAGUGCCUCCUAAGGAGGCUGUUCAGGUGUCUAAAAGCACCUGAAGGAAGGGCUGGGUAAGACCGGUGCCAGCCGCCGCGGUAACACCGGCAGCCCAAGUGGUAGCCACGUUUAUUGGGUCUAAAGCGUCCGUAGCCGGCUGGGUAAGUUCCUUGGGAAAUUUGGCUGCUUAACAGUCAAGCUUUCAGGGAAUACUGCCCGGCUUGGGACCGGGAGAGGUCAGAGGUACUCCAGGGGUAGGGGUGAAAUCCAUUAAUCCUUGGGGGACCACCGGUAGCGAAGGCGUCUGACCAGACCGGGUCCGACGGUGAGGGACGAAGGCUAGGGGCGCGAACCGGAUUA
This 394-nucleotide ribosomal RNA is filed under the name uncultured microorganism. Its description in RNAcentral is "bacterial SSU rRNA". It matches the Rfam family "Archaeal small subunit ribosomal RNA", at positions 330 to 731 of the family's 1478-position model. The record is from RNAcentral.